AGCGGCGAACGGGUGAGUAACACGUAGGUAAUCUGCCCAUCAGACGGGGACAACGAUUGGAAACGAUCGCUAAUACCGGAUAGGACGAAAGUUUAAAGAUGCUCCUGGCAUCACUGAUGGAUGAGCCUGCGGCGCAUUAGCUAGUUGGUGGGGUAAAGGCCUACCAAGGCGACGAUGCGUAGCCGACCUGAGAGGGUGAACGGCCACACUGGGACUGAGACACGGCCCAGACUCCUACGGGAGGCAGCAGUAGGGAAUCUUCGGCAAUGGGCGAAAGCCUGACCGAGCAACGCCGCGUGAAUGAAGAAGGCCUUCGGGUUGUAAAAUUCUGUUAUAAGGGAAGAAAGGUGAUAGGAGGAAAUGACUAUCAAUUGACGGUACCUUAUGAGAAAGCCACGGCUAACUACGUGCCAGCAGCCGCGGUAAUACGUAGGUGGCAAGCGUUAUCCGGAAUUAUUGGGCGUAAAGAGCGCGCAGGUGGUUAAUUAAGUCUGAUGUGAAAGCCCACGGCUCAACCGAGGGACUGCUUUGGAAACUGUUAAACUGGAGUGCAGGAGAGGUAAGUGGAANUCCUAGUGUAGCGGUGAAAUGCGUAGAUAUUAGGANGAACACCAGUGGCGAAGGCGGCUUACUGGACUGUACCUGACGNUGAGGCUCGAAGCGUGGGNAGCAAACAGGAUUAGAUACCCUGGUA
RNAcentral lists this ribosomal RNA (694 nucleotides) under uncultured bacterium. RNAcentral's name for it is "bacterial SSU rRNA". It matches the Rfam family "Bacterial small subunit ribosomal RNA", at positions 94 to 792 of the family's 1533-position model. The record is from RNAcentral.